Molecule: unclassified non-coding RNA, 396 nt
Filed under: fungal sp.
Lineage: Eukaryota; Fungi
Description: partial internal transcribed spacer region
Rfam family: Eukaryotic small subunit ribosomal RNA (bases 1-46)
Source: RNAcentral
AAGUCGUAACAAGGUUUCCGUAGGUGAACCUGCGGAAGGAUCAUUACAACGUAUCCACGUACCAAACUCGUGCACUGUUUCCCUCUAGAGUAAACAACUCGUGGUUGAGGUCAAUGGUCGAUUGGUUUCCACUGAUGGAGUUCUCUCUGAGAGAACUGGAAAGCUCUCGUCCGCCGAAUGCGCUAGUCUCCGGACCGGUGCAUGAGGGACUUCGUUUGCUCUAUUGCGGUUGUGCGACCGUCAGCGCUAGUUUUACCUUGAUUAACCCUUUGCAAAUUUUGAACUGAGCUUGGAAGCUUAGCCAUGUCCUUGCUGGCCUAUGGUCACGGAUAGCGGCUGUGGUUUCCUUAAGUAUUUAACAAAGAACAACUCUUAGCAACGGAUAUCUUGGUUCUC